CCUACGGAGGGCAGCAGUGAGGAAUAUUGGUCAAUGGGCGCGAGCCUGACCCAGCCAAGUAGCGUGAAGGAUGACUGCCCUACGGGUUGUCAACUUCUUUUAUCAAGGAAUAAAGUGAGGCACGUGUGCCUUUUUGUAUGUACUUUAUGAAUAAGGAUCGGCUAACUCCGUGCCAGCAGCCGCGGUAAUAAGGCGGAUCCGAGCGUUAUCUGGAUUUAUUGGGUUUAAAGGGCGCGUAGAGGGGUUGUUACGUCAGUUGUGAAAGUUUGCGGCUCAAACGUAAAAUUGCAAUUGAUACUGGCAGCCUUGAUUACAGUUGAGGUAUGCGGAAUUCGUGGUGUAGCGGUGAAAUGCUUAGAUAUCACGAAGAACUCCGAUUGCGAAGGCAGCCUACUAAACUGCCACUGACAUUGAUGCUCGAAAGUGUGGGUAUCAAACAGGAUUAGAUACCCUGUAGUC
RNAcentral lists this ribosomal RNA (459 nucleotides) under uncultured bacterium. Its description in RNAcentral is "partial 16S ribosomal RNA". It matches the Rfam family "Bacterial small subunit ribosomal RNA", at positions 338 to 795 of the family's 1533-position model. The record is from RNAcentral.